RNAcentral lists this ribosomal RNA (253 nucleotides) under uncultured bacterium. RNAcentral describes it as "partial 16S ribosomal RNA". It matches the Rfam family "Bacterial small subunit ribosomal RNA", at positions 524 to 776 of the family's 1533-position model. The record is from RNAcentral.
UACGAAGGGGGCUAGCUUUGCUCGGAAUUACUGGGCGUAAAGGGCGCGUAGGCGGGUCGUCAAGUUGGGGGUGAAAGCCCGGGGCUCAACCUCGGAAUUGCCUUCAAAACUGACGACCUAGAGUAUGGCAGAGGUGUGUGGAACUCCGAGUGUAGAGGUGAAAUUCGUAGAUAUUAGGAGGAACACCUGUGGCGAAAGCGGCCAUCUGGAUCACAAUUGACGCUGAAGUGCGAAAGCGUGGGUAGCAAACAGG